GUGCUAUCAAUCCAGUUUAUACUACAUUUCCUCUGAAGAGAAAAACUGGAAUGACAGCUAUCAAGAUUGUUUGAAGAGAGGAGCAAAUCUAACUAUUAUAAACAGCAACAAAGAUAAAGAUUUUUUAAAAACUUACGGUGAAGUCUGGAUUGGUCUAACUAAUAUGGAGGGAACAUGGAAAUGGGUUGAUGGCAGCACACUGACCUCUAGCUUCUGGGCAUCUGGAGAGCCCAAUGGACAUACAAAGAAGGACUGUGCUGUGACUUCAAAGCAUCUUGACAAACCAGAGUGGAACUACUAUCCUUGUAGUUCUGCUUUUAAAUGGAUUUGUGAAAAAUAAAAUCUGUAAUAUGAUCGCUAA
Molecule: long non-coding RNA, 361 nt
Organism: Sinocyclocheilus anshuiensis
Lineage: Eukaryota; Metazoa; Chordata; Actinopteri; Cypriniformes; Cyprinidae
Exons: 3
Source: RefSeq, a predicted model, not a curated record